This 1251-nucleotide long non-coding RNA is filed under the name Felis catus (domestic cat). RNAcentral describes it as "lncRNA (ENSFCAG00000049438.1)". The record is from RNAcentral. Lineage: Eukaryota; Metazoa; Chordata; Mammalia; Carnivora; Felidae.
UCCCCCCCAGAGUAGCAGAUUAUUACGCUCUUAUUUAAAAUGAUGCUUAGGGGCGCCUGGGUGGCUCGGUCGGGUAAGCGUCAGAUUCUUGAUUUCAGCUCAGGUCAUCUCACGCUUUGAGACACUGAGCCCUGUAUCAGGCUUUGCGCUGACAGCACGGAGCCUGCUUGGGAUUCUCUCUCUCUCUCUCUCUUUCUCUCUCUCUCUCUCUCUCUCUUUCUCUCCCUCUGUCUCCUCCCGCAUGCUCUCUCUCUCAAAAUAAAUAAAUAGGCUUUAAAAUGAUGCUUCGAAGAAGUUUUCAUCCAUUGUACUUAUGGCUGUUCCAGGCACAGACUUUUAUCUCAGUUGACUCCGCAUCUCAGAUGUGACAGACGAGCCCAUUCCUUCUCUCCGUAGCCUUUGCACCAUUGUCACGCUGAAAACUAUAGGAUUAUGGUCGAGGUUCUAGAACAUGUCCGAGAUGGACAUAACCGAUAGGAGUGCCCAAGCCCCGCUGAACAAUUUCGGGAGCAGCUUCUACCCAGUUGAAGCGUGUCCUGAAGCCCCCGUGUCCGUAAGACGGGCCUUGUGGACGUCUGUUUCAACUUGCCUCCUUUGCCUGCGUUCAAAAACCGUGUCUUGUGGCCUCUGCCCCACGUCCACCUGCUAACCCUGUCCGGCUGAUGUAUGGCUCCUGCUGACAAUGGUUCCUACUGACCCGUGCUGUGUGAUGAACAAAAGCUCCUACUGAACCACGUCUCCUGUUGACCUGCGGCCUCUGCUGACUCAUGGCUCAUGCUAACUCAGGGCUUCUGCGGACCCAGAGUUCGUCUCCAUCCAUGGCUCCUGUCGACCCUUUGUGCCUCCUGACCCAUGGCAACUGCUGACCUUUGGCCCCUGUUGACCCGUGGCUCCAGCUUACUCACGUCUUCUGCUGAGCCGUGCCUUCCAGUGGGAUGAAGAAAGGGAUCCAGCCCCCCGGAAGAUCCAGGGCUCCAAACAACUAGAUCUCAGUUCAGAGUAGCCCUGGAAUCUCAAAAAAAGGAUCUGUAGCGUGGGGGGCGCCUGGGUGGCUCAGUCGGUUAAGCACCUAACUUCCGCUCAGGUUAUGAUCUCAGGGUUCAUGAGUUGGAGCCCGGCUCUGGGCUGACAGCUCAGAGCCUGGAUCUGCUUCAGAAUCUGUGUCUCCCUCUCUCUGCCCCUCCCCCACUCAGGCUCUGUCUCCUCACUCUCAGAAACAGACAUUAAAAAAAAUUUUUUUUUAAAGAUCUG